Canis lupus familiaris (dog) is the source of this 73-nucleotide non-coding RNA. The record is from Rfam. NCBI's taxonomy places the organism in Eukaryota, Metazoa, Chordata, Mammalia, Carnivora, Canidae.
GCCUAGCUGGCUCAGUUGGUAGAGCAUGUGACUCUUGAUCUCAGGGUCAUGAGUUCAAGCCCCACAUUGGGCA